This 468-nucleotide ribosomal RNA is filed under the name uncultured bacterium. RNAcentral describes it as "partial 16S ribosomal RNA". It matches the Rfam family "Bacterial small subunit ribosomal RNA", at positions 28 to 507 of the family's 1533-position model. The record is from RNAcentral.
GACGAACGCUGGCGGCGUGCUUAACACAUGCAAGUCGAACGGAAAGGCCCUGCUUUUGUGGGGUGCUCGAGUGGCGAACGGGUGAGUAACACGUGAGUAACCUGCCCUUGACUUUGGGAUAACUUCAGGAAACUGGGGCUAAUACCGGAUAGGAGCUCCUGCUGCAUGGUGGGGGUUGGAAAGUUUCGGCGGUUGGGGAUGGACGCGCGGCUUAUCAGCUUGUUGGUGGGGUAGUGGCUUACCAAGGCUUUGACGGGUAGCCGGCCUGAGAGGGUGACCGGCCACAUUGGGACUGAGAUACGGCCCAGAGUCCUACGGGAGGCAGCAGUGGGGAAUAUUGCACAAUGGGCGGAAGCCUGAUGCAGCAACGCCGCGUGCGGGAUGACGGCCUUCGGGUUGUAAACCGCUUUCGCCUGUGACGAAGCGUGAGUGACGGUAAUGGGUAAAGAAGCACCGGCUAACUACGUG